CCCAGACUCCUACGGGAGGCAGCAGUGAGGAAUAUUGGUCAAUGGGCGCGAGCCUGAACCAGCCAAGUCGCGUGAGGGAUGACGGCCCUACGGGUUGUAAACCUCUUUUGCCGGGGAGCAACGGGGUCCUUGCGAGGGCCUGAUGAGAGUACCCGGAGAAAAAGCAUCGGCUAACUCCGUGCCAGCAGCCGCGGUAAUACGGAGGAUGCGAGCGUUAUCCGGAUUUAUUGGGUUUAAAGGGUGCGUAGGCGGAAUGCCAUGUCAGCGGUAAAAUCGCGGGGCUCAACCUCGCUCCGCCGUUGAAACUGGCGUUCUUGAGUGGGCGAGAAGUAUGCGGAAUGCGUGGUGUAGCGGUGAAAUGCAUAGAUAUCACGCAGAACUCCGAUUGCGAAGGCAGCAUACCGGCGCCCAACUGACGCUGAAGCACGAAAGCGUGGGUAUCGAACAGGAUUAGAUACCCCGGUAG
This 466-nucleotide ribosomal RNA is filed under the name uncultured bacterium. Its description in RNAcentral is "bacterial SSU rRNA". It matches the Rfam family "Bacterial small subunit ribosomal RNA", at positions 330 to 793 of the family's 1533-position model. The record is from RNAcentral.